Musca domestica (house fly) is the source of this 4560-nucleotide long non-coding RNA. RefSeq annotates it as myb-like protein P. The transcript is spliced from 5 exons. The record is from RefSeq and is a predicted model, not a curated record. NCBI's taxonomy places the organism in Eukaryota, Metazoa, Arthropoda, Insecta, Diptera, Muscidae.
ACAAAAAUUGUGCGGUAGUGGUAGCGCGUAAAAAUCUCGUUGCAAUUGUCUAUGAAAAUCUUCGGUAAUUAUUCUUAACUUUUAUGCAAUAAACAAUUGAUAAAGACUACAGUGUUAUAAAAUAUUGAAAGAAAUCAGUGAAUGUAUUAAGAAAAUCUCGAAAAACAAAUCAAAUUAUCAAUUGUCUGCCAAACAAGUAAAAUUUCCAAUCAGACAAAAGAAGUGGGAGAAAAAAAUGCGGUAGUCAGUCAGAAAAGUUGUGGUAGUCUCAGUAGAUUUGCUGGGAAAAAAUACUUGUGAACUAUGAAAAAUGUUUCGUAUUUAUAGAAAAUCAAAGCAGUCUGUUGAAAAAAAAAUUUCUAAUAAUUAAAAAAUUAUUUGCCAAAACCAUUUCAUUUGUUCGUGCCAUAAUAGAAAAGCCAAAAGGAGUCGCAUUUCUUGCAUUUAACGUGUGCGUGUUCGUUCGUGUGUGCGUUUUUGUGUUUAUCGGUGUUUGUUUUUCCCUAUUCGGUUGUCGCAUGAACUCUUCGUUGCUGACAGAGACGCCAAAUUCCCUCUGUUGUGGCAUUGAUUUUGUGCAAAAAAUAACAACACAAAACAGAGAGCAACUUUACUGCUCCCAAAAACUCUCGGUCGCUCUCCCGGCAAAACAAAACGGAAUUUUCUCCAGCCCUUUUGCAAGGGGCCAUUGAAAAUACCGUGUCUCUUCUUAACAUGUGCAUUUUUGUCUAACUCUCAGAGAGCUGAGUAUUGAAAACAACGUCUCUGCUCUGGCUCUGCUGCAGAGGGUUUGUGAAAUAACAACAAACAAUGAAGAAAUUAUUGUGCGCGUAAAGGAGUAAUGAAAUAAAACAAAAUAACAAACAAUUUUGUGCAUGGAUUUUAAACAUUUUAUAACAAUUAAUAGAUUUAUUAAAUAUUUUAUUAUGGAUUAAACAUAUUUGCAUGGAUAUUUAGUGAAAAAUUCAAAAGCGGCGCCUAAUUCAGUUACAGUUACCGGCAUUAUCAAGGUGUAAUUAUGAAACAUUUUUAACAUUAAAGUGUGGAUAUUGUGCGGAAGCAUGAAAUAAUGACAAUUUUCGAAAUUUAAGGUUAUUCCAGUGUCACCGAAUUGAAAACGAAUAAAAAAACGACAGAAAACAAAUAAUUGGAUUAAAUUGAAUUAAAAUGAAUUUGUUCGACUUCGACGAAUCAUAGAUAGAUAGUGAAUAUACCAAAAUACCAAAUAGAAUGUGAACCAUUCUUUAAUGAAAAAAAAACAAAAAACGACAAAAUAAAAUAAAAUAAAUGAAAUUUGUGAAAAUUAAAAACCAAGCAGAAAAAAUAUAUAUAAAAACGAAAUAAAAAAUUUUUGUGUAUUAAAAUAAAACGACAAAAAAAAACCUACAAUAUCUAUAAAUACCAGUUCAAGGAUUAUUAUAACAUUUAAAUAAACGGAUUUUCACUUUUGAUGUGAUAUAAUUAUUUACUUUUUGCAUGUAAAUAGUAAAAUAAAAACGUACCACACACACACACAUAGGCGGGGACCCCAAGUGAAGUCGUGGAGAGUCAACAAUUGAAUGGUAGAAAGGAAUGAAGUUCUACCAUAACUAAAUUGAUAAAUAGCAGCCAAGACGACAUACCUAUCUACCUAACUACAUAUGGUAACGUUUUGUCCAAAAUAAACAGAAACACAGCCAAUAAGAAAAAGAAAAAAAAACAAUUAUUGUAAAUAAACAGCGAAAUAAACAAAAAAAAAAUUGGAAAAAAAAGUCCCCAAGAACUAAGAAAAACCUGGUACCAUAUGCCGCCGCAAUGGAAAUCAUUGGCAUGCACAAGAAAAUCAUGUCGUUGUUGUUUUUGGUGAUAUUGAAAAAUCAAUGUAAACAACAAUUUGAUGAUUAAAACGACAAUGUCUCCUACUGAUCGGAACAACAACACCAAGUGUAUUAACGAUCUUUGGCAGAGAAACCAACAUCAAAUAACCCGUAUAGCGGCAUUGUCAUCGGCGGCAAUGUCAAUGUGGUUUAUUCCUAACAAUAACAAAAACAACAAGAAUAAGAAUACGAAUACGAUUACCAAUACCACCGCAAACAUUACCACCAAUAACGCCAACAACAGGUCAACUUUAUCAUCAACCUCCGCGACGGCGUUUCACUGCAGUUUACCAGCGCCUUUGCUGUUCUCCUCAUCAACGCUGUUGCUCUUCCUUUUGUUGUUGGUGUGUGCUGCCACGGAUAGGUGGUGUUUGUAGAUAUCCAAACAACACCAAGAACACCAGAACACCCUAGCACACAUUUCUAAACAAAAACAAAAGAUAAACACAGAAAACGAACGCCAAGCUGGCGGGCGGGCGACCAGACCGGCAGUCCAACAGAGACUUCAAUUGAAAAUUUCGAUUAAACACGGGGUGUUGGGUUUUUGCGUUCAUUUCCUUACAAAACUCAAGCGUGUUAACAACACAAACCAAAAAUUACGCUCUGAGCGAGUGAGCGAGCGUACAUACGUUUUUCCGCGGAAAAUCCAAAACAAGAAAAACAGAAUCGAAAUACAUUUUUGAAUGUUCAGGAAAAAAUACAACAACAACAAAAAUAAAACAAGAACAGGAUUUGUUGCAGCUUUCAAGUGAAAGAGGAGAUUUGCUGUUGGUGGUGCCAACCACACAGCUCCGUACCAAAGGAGGAGACAAUUAAAUGAUGUCAUGUUAUCGGUUGGACAGCAUCUACAACAACAGCAACAACAACAAGCAACAAACACAGCUGCUAAUCAACAAGUAACAACAAAAACAACAACAUAAUCAACAUUGCAAUUUGGCAAACAUUGGGGCUUAAUAACAAGCAAGUGGCGCCCAACCUAAGAACUUUUGAAACCCCUUGCAAUUUUGUGAAAAAGUGACGCCUAUUAAAAACCAAGUGGCGCCCAACGUAAAAACUUUUGAAACCCCUUGCAAUUUUGUGAAAAGAGUGACGUUCAUUAAAAACCAAGUGGCGCCCAACGUGUAAAGUGAAGCCACCUUACAAUUUUCAAAAAAUUAUUACAUAUUAAGAAGUGGCGCCCAACGUGUCAACUUUUGAAACCCCUUGCAAUUUAACAGAAAAAGUUACGCCUAUUAAAAACCAAGUGGCGCCCAACGUGUAAAGUGAAGCCACCUUACAAUUUUCAAAAAAUUUGGGCAUAUUAAGAAGUGGCGCCCAACGUGUGAACUUUUGAAACCCCUUGCAAUUUGACAGAAAAAGUGACGCCCAUUAAAAACCAAGUGGCGCCCAUCGUGUAAGGCGAACUCCUCUUACAAUUUUGCAAAACAUCAGUGCUUAUUAACCAACCAAGUGGCGCCCAACGUGCCAGCCAACAGCCAGCAUCUAAUCUAAUGGAAUAUAAUGAUGGAUAUAAAAAUGAACAACAAUAGCUUUCAAAGCAUUCGGAGUAGCAACAGCAGCAACUACAUUAGCCCAACUACUAGCAGUGGUACGGGACAUAAAUCCCCACUCGAGAGACAGGAUUUCAGGCAACAACCAUACCAAUGUCCAAAAAGACUUAACAAAAGCCGGGAAAAAUUAACAUCACACAUCUCUGCCGAGCUCUCACCUCCAUCAAGGCGAUGUCCUUCUCCUCCCGCCCAUCCUCCUCUCAAAUUAGUAACAUUAAAUGAAAUCUGUCCAAAAAAUGGCUGUACAUGUCAGUGUUUUCAGGGCGGCUUCUGUGAGCAUGGCAGUUUUGUGGCCAGCGGCCAGGAAGUUGCAACUCGUAUAGUCAGGAGGACAAUGGGGAGAGAUGGAGAACAUGCGACAACAUUAAACAGCGGGAAAUGUGGCAAUAUAGAAGAAGAACAACAACAGAGUAGGAGAACAUGUCCCACUCAGCAAAACCUGCAACACCCUGAUGAUGAAAAGCAGCAACAAGAGCCACAACGACUAGCAAAAUAUCGACUGAGUAACAGCAACUGGAACAGCAGCAGUAGUAGCAGGACAGCACCAAGCUUGAAUAGUGGCUGUUACAACAUUUCAAAUACCACCACCAACAACAGCAUUAUUAGCCAUAAACAAGAAGAAGACGAAGCAGUGGAUUUCCAUAAAACAACAUCUGCAGCCAGUAGAGAGCCAGCGAAUUGUUGGAGUUGGUGGUGUUGGUCAAACAGGGAAAGCAAUUUGCCAUUAAGGACCCUGGGAUGCGGACAACAAGUAGGCCAUAUAACCACAACAGAAGGAGGAACAACAACAUCAUCAUCGUCCUUACAAUCUACAAAGCUUUAUCCUGCUAAACAACAACAACAUGGGCAGUCCAACAAAAGCCUUAAAUGCAAAACAAAGUCACCCUCAUCGACAUCAGCAUCGUCAACUCGGCCAAAAUGCUUCUCAUCAUCGUCGUCCUCAUCAUCGUCAUCAUUGUCAUCGAUAACACAAGCCAUGGCCGGCAUCUACAACAACAUUAUUAGGCAUUUUGGCCUACAGCUAUGUUGUCUCCUGCUGUUACGGCUAACAAUGAUUACCAGUGCUGUGGCGGUUGGCAUGGAUGCGGCAAAUGGAAAUCUUACGGAUUUGGGUAGUCCGGGUAUGUAAAAAUGUUUUUCCUUCUUCUUUUUCC